RNAcentral lists this ribosomal RNA (387 nucleotides) under Klebsiella pneumoniae. RNAcentral's name for it is "bacterial SSU rRNA". It matches the Rfam family "Bacterial small subunit ribosomal RNA", at positions 591 to 977 of the family's 1533-position model. RNAcentral also lists the same sequence under 1 other name. Lineage: Bacteria; Pseudomonadati; Pseudomonadota; Gammaproteobacteria; Enterobacterales; Enterobacteriaceae. The record is from RNAcentral.
GAUGUGAAAUCCCCGGGCUCAACCUGGGAACUGCAUUCGAAACUGGCAGGCUAGAGUCUUGUAGAGGGGGGUAGAAUUCCAGGUGUAGCGGUGAAAUGCGUAGAGAUCUGGAGGAAUACCGGUGGCGAAGGCGGCCCCCUGGACAAAGACUGACGCUCAGGUGCGAAAGCGUGGGGAGCAAACAGGAUUAGAUACCCUGGUAGUCCACGCCGUAAACGAUGUCGAUUUGGAGGUUGUGCCCUUGAGGCGUGGCUUCCGGAGCUAACGCGUUAAAUCGACCGCCUGGGGAGUACGGCCGCAAGGUUAAAACUCAAAUGAAUUGACGGGGGCCCGCACAAGCGGUGGAGCAUGUGGUUUAAUUCGAUGCAACGCGAAGAACCUUACCUG